This 2655-nucleotide long non-coding RNA is filed under the name Olea europaea subsp. europaea. The record is from RNAcentral. Lineage: Eukaryota; Viridiplantae; Streptophyta; Magnoliopsida; Lamiales; Oleaceae.
CGCGAACAUUGUUCCCUCCAUCGAGAAAGGCGAACACAAUAAAAUUUUGAAUAUAGUGAAAAUAAGAGAAAUGAUCGAGGAAAUAAAAUCUGCCAUAAGAUAAUCAACAUGUUAUACAACCAUAUGGAUACUACUACCACUUGGUGUAUAAAUACUAAAAUGAACAAAGGAUAUAUUAGUGAUAAAACAUGUUAUUUUCAAAGGAAAAAAAGGUUCCACUUCUCCAGACAAACAUCUUUUUCCACACUUUCAUUAACUGAAUCUUCUAAAUCCGCUAUCUUUUCAACUGACCUGGAACAAAAGAAGAUGUAGCAUCAGAUUCUCAGCUACUAGCAUAUCAAGUAAACAGCAUAAUAUAAUAUCGGAACAGAUGUAAAACUAAUCUGGGUUAUGUAUCGAUGUAAAAUGGGAAGACAACCAAAAAUAAAUAAAUAAAUAAAUAAAAAUUUCAAGUUUUUAUUUUAAUAAUUUUUACUUAUUGCUUGUGCUUCACUUGUUUAUGCAUGAAGGUUAAUUUUGCUGUAUACAGGCUUGGCUCCGACAAGUUACUGGCACCAGCUCAUCAAAAAUUCACAUUGACGCUGGCCUAAAAGAAGAAUCUAUCUAUGUUUAGGUUUCUGAAUACAUUCUUCUAAGCCGACAAAUAUAAUAAUGGAAUUCUAGGAUGUCACAUUGCAUUUGAUGCUAUGAUGUUAUGGCAAGCUGGGCGAGCAUCAGCUUUAGAAUCCAGACAAAAGAAAAAACAGUGUGUAGCUUAAAUCCACUUCAUGGUAAAAGUAUAGUUUCUUGUGAGGAAUAAAUACAUUACUUCCUUCAUGAAAGACUCCUGCAUCCAUUAGAAAUUCUAACUAUUAAGCAAAUCCAAAGAGACGUGGAAAAUAUCGUGAACUACAAAUAAAAAGUACCUGACAAGCAAAACAAGUCCUCUGACAACUAAUCAUACCGGGGUACAUCAGCCAGAAAACAGCUUCACAACAAUGCAGAGCAAAUUGAGAAGUAUAAGAGGAACUCUUAAAUACUGGGUUGCAUAUAUAAGACCAAUAAUUUGCCCCUUUAAAGAUUUUCUCCUAACACCAGAAUAUUCCUGGAAGCUCCAUCCCCUAGGGGCAAGAAGACGGUCUUCAUUUAAUAUAGCUAGUGCAUUUGCAAGAAGCAGGCAGCCCUCCAGCAGCGUCCACAAACCCAUUUCCUGCAUCAUAUACUGAUUUAGUAUAUCUUUCCUCUCCAAAAUCCGUUCUUAGUUACAACAAACUAAGUAUUUUUUUACAAUAAAUUUAAGGUCACCAGGUCUGCUAACUAAUCCUUUUCUGCCAUUCCAUUCGAUUCAUUGAUAGAUCUUGCAAAAGAUUCAAAGCAUCUAAUCCUUGGCAACUACCAUAGACCACGUAAUUUUGUUCUCUCCCUCCUCCUGACAUACUCUACCUAAAUCACGUCACUCGUAUGAAUCUCUAUGCAAAACAGGUCACAACAAACUAAAUUGUUCUUCUACUAUCCUCAGUCACCACACCCAUGUGUUGGCAUAUAUUUUGAUUUCUUAUCUUUACCAUUUGAGUAUAAUCACACGUCCAUCUUAGCAUCCUCUUUUUCCUUACAUUUAUCCUAUGGACAUUCAUUCAAGAACUCAACAACUAGUAUGAAAGACUUCUAAUUUAAUGUCGAUAAAUUUGUUUAACAAAGAGGAGCACAUGAGGACGACCAAGAACCAUAUUUCACAAGGUAACAAAAAUAAUAGGGGAGGAUAUAGAGAAUGAUUCUCAAGUUAUCCGUACAAAGAAUUUCAUAACUUACUUUCUGAUACUUAUGGAUGAUAUGUUCAUGCUCAAUUUGAAGGUAUGCUAAAGAUUUUGGCCACAAUGGCCCACACAGAAGUGUAAGAAUGUAAAUCUUCGGCACAAAAAGUUCAUUUAUGUACACUGUUUACAGCAACAGAAACAUUUCAUUAUUUGAAGAUUCCUUCCAGAGGCAAAGCAAAGGCCAAGUUAAUGCAAGAAUAGUACAUUCUCCAAUUGGAAAAAAAAGGUGAUAAUUCAUCACCAAUUCACCAUCAACCAAUUCGAAACAAAUUGAUAUUUCAGUCUCUUCUUCUUCAUUUUUUUUCCCCUUUCUUCUGCAAAGGCCAAGUUAAUGCAAGAAUAGUACAUUCUCCAAUUGGAGAAAAAGUGAUAUUUCAUGACCAAUUCACCAUCAACCAAUUGGAAACAAAUUGACAUUUCAGUCUCUUUUUUUUCCUGCACAAAUUACACACAAUAAAAACAAAUUCACCCGCGUGUACUUAAAUAAAAAUAUAUGAGAAGCGCGUAAUUCUGCACAAUAAUUCCACCCCCGAGAGAUUAAAAGAAAUCCGCCUAAUUAAACCUAUAAAAUGAGCAAACCCCAUCACGAUAACAUAACUAUUUGUUAAAGAUUCAACAUGUAAAACAACAGAGUACACACCAAGCGAGGUUUUAAACAUUGCGAUCUGAGGUAUUCCAAAAAUACCAAAAAAGAAGGGGUAAUGAAUUAACAGAACAAACUAAACUGUGAAUCAUCUCAUAAAAUCUUUGAACGAGAUAAAAACUUACAGAAAAUAUUAUCGAUAUACUAAUCACUCACCUUGAAAUUUUGGGGAAAGUAGAAAAUUGUAUCGACAAGAAAAGAUCCGAGAUGGUUUUCCCC